CGGAGCAUAGCGCAGCCCGGUAGCGCGUCUGGUUUGGGACCAGAAAGUCGUGGGUUCGAAUCCCACUGCUCCGACCA
Molecule: transfer RNA, 77 nt
Filed under: bacterium
Lineage: Bacteria
Also listed under: 2 other names
Description: tRNA-Pro
Rfam family: tRNA
About the family: Transfer RNA (tRNA) molecules are approximately 80 nucleotides in length.
Source: RNAcentral